RNAcentral lists this unclassified non-coding RNA (24 nucleotides) under Arabidopsis thaliana (thale cress). Lineage: Eukaryota; Viridiplantae; Streptophyta; Magnoliopsida; Brassicales; Brassicaceae. The record is from RNAcentral.
AUAGCUUGAUAACAGUGAAUUUCG